UCUAGAAUAAGUUGUAAAAUUUACACCUAUAUAGAGAUGUGUAUAUAGUAUUUUCAUUAAGUGUGGCACUUCAAUCGUCCAACAGCGGAUAAGAUAAGACAAGUGUGAGAGGCUUUUAUGUGAUGAGCAUAUUGAUCUAAUAAUUUGACUUAAGUAUUUUGGGACGUUGGUUUGGACUCAAUGAGUGAAUAAUACUAGCAGGUCCUUAUAAUUGAAUUGGGUCACUAGCCCUAAAUAUAAAGUGGGCCUCACAUCGCUGGAUAAAUCUGGACUAUGUGUGUGACUUAACUGGGUCGACAAGAAUGUAUCUGAGUGUGAGUGGCUUAUAUAUUAAGAACACACUAGAACUAAUAAUUGGACUUAACUAGGUUGACAAGAAUAUUGCUUGAGAAUAUUCAAUAUAAACUGAGUUUUUCUGAGGGAGUGAAGAUCACAAGUAUAUAUAGGCCACUCGCCGUCUAAGAGAAUAAAUAGAAAUGUGUCAAAUGGUGAAGUUUUUUUUUGAGAGAGAAAGAUAGCAUACUACCCGCUUCGUUUAUUUCUUUUUAAAAAUAAAUUUAGCUGAAAAUGUAAAGUAACUAGACUUUGAAGUUGAUACCUCAGGUACUAAUUAUCAAGCCUUUUACCACUUGUGCUAAAAACGGUCGGUAAUGGUGUAAAGUUAUAAGGCAAAACAAAAAGCUAUAAGCUCUCAAGAAACUCUAUUUAUUAUCUCUCUUAUAAACCAUAA
This 730-nucleotide long non-coding RNA is filed under the name Ananas comosus (pineapple). Its description in RNAcentral is "long non-coding RNA (ACOM_LNC017408)". The record is from RNAcentral. Lineage: Eukaryota; Viridiplantae; Streptophyta; Magnoliopsida; Poales; Bromeliaceae.